UGCCACUACAUUUGUAGAUCAGAUGGCC
Molecule: non-coding RNA, 28 nt
Filed under: Homo sapiens (human)
Lineage: Eukaryota; Metazoa; Chordata; Mammalia; Primates; Hominidae
Source: RNAcentral